GCCCACAAAUCAACGCAUCAAUAAGCACGUCAACAAUGAUGUGAACCUUCGCAUUCAGAAUUUGACCAUCUUGGUGAGAAACAUUAAGACCUACUACCAGGAAGUUCUCCAGCAGCUGAUUGUAAUGAAUUUGCCCAAUGUUUUGAUGAUUGGCAGAGAUCCACUGUCUGGGAAGAGCAUGGAGGAAAUCAAGAAGGUGCUGCUGCUGGUGCUGGGCUGUGCCGUCCAGUGUGAGAGGAAAGAGGAGUUCAUUGAAAGAAUCAAACAGCUGGACAUUGAGACCCAGGCUGGCAUCGUGGCCCAUAUCCAGGAGGUAGGUGCGUGGCCUCGCGGAGGGCUCAGCCGUGGACUGCUGCUCCCGUGGUAGCCAGGAGGCAAAACUUCUCUAUGAAUGGAAACGUUUAAAGAAUACAUCACCCAUUACGAUUUUGCUAAUCUUAGGUUUCAGACACCACAGACACAUUGAUUCUAUUUGGAAAGAUAGCCAUCAAUCAGCCAGCUAAAAUAAAGUGAGGGUAAAAAUAAAAAUUUAAAAAAAAAAAAAAACACCUCAA
RNAcentral lists this small RNA (554 nucleotides) under Pongo abelii (Sumatran orangutan). RNAcentral's name for it is "retained intron". Lineage: Eukaryota; Metazoa; Chordata; Mammalia; Primates; Hominidae. The record is from RNAcentral.